UGAGGUAAAGAAUACGAGUGUUUUGAUACACAUACACGCAAUAAGGUACAAAGUUCUUCAGCUCAGCUUGUUUAUUUCGUCACUGAAAUCGCCUUUUUAUACCAACUGCUAAUGUGUAACAGCUGUUUCUAUAAUUCUCACAUUUGCAUCUAAGACUCGACAUAUUUUCUCGACCUUCUUCGAACUUUUCGGGCCAAAAAACAAGCAAUAAUGUCGGAAGACCAUUUUGAUGAACUGGAACAUUACAACUACGAUCCUCCCAUUCACAGCGGAGCCAGCGGCAAGGGGCUGACAAAAAAGGAGAAAGCUACCAAAGAACACGGGAACCCUCAUACGACCAAGGAGGCCCGUCUUGUUGAAGAUCAAAUAACGAACUCGGAGCAGAAAAAGAAAGAUAAAGUCAAGAAACAGGGCAGCAAAGAAUAGAGCUGAAAACGGUAACAACGGGUAUAAGAUGAUAGGUUUAAAACGACGAUGGAUUUGUGACGAGAAAAUGGGAUAUGGUGUCAGCGAAAAAAGGGACCAGAGCAAGGCCAAGGACAAAGGGAUCUUGCAAUCAUGAAUCAAUUUAAGGGAAGUGAGAAACCAGAAGAGCGCCCUCUACUGCCUGCCUCUCGCCAUGGUCAAGGCAUUCCUUAGCUAGCCAGAGGGACUUUGAACAGGAGACGGUGAAUGAAAAUUAACUCAUUUGUGAACUUUUUUUUUUAAUUUCUUGUCCUUUAAAAAAUUAGAUGUCUUCUAUUUUUCUGUGCAAAGUAAUAGAGUCUGGGUUAUUUCUUAAUAGCUGGAAGGAAUUGGAAUGGUAGACGGUGAAAAUAAACUAAUUUGUGGACAUUUUUGUUUCUAAUUUCUUAUACUACUUUGAAAAUUAGAUGUAUUCUUUUUUUUUGUGCUCAUAGAGCUAGACAAUCAUAUCAAUUACAUGGUUUUGUGUAACUUACCCUCAUGUAAAAGUUAUUCACUCAAAUGGAGAUGAUGCUAAGGCCUUAUGAAAACCAGUGUUAUUUUUCGAGUAUUUCCAUGGGAGGAAACUUUAGGUCGGAAUUUCACUUUGGUAUGAAUGUUGGUUUCAAUAAAAGCAGGAAAAAAAUUAAGAAACAUUUUGGUGAAGAUUUGCCAAAAAAUCCAUACAUGCAAGCUGCUCCCCCAUAUCUAUCUAGGUCAUUUGAUGUAAAUUUGAUAAAAUGCAGUUUUCUCAGAAAAUUUACAUUAUUUCAUCUGUGCAUUCAUCAUAUCUUUAAAGUUUAAACAUAUCUUGUACCCUCUCCUAAAGAAAAAUCAAUUAAUAUUGCGAGUCAUAAACUAUUAAAAAAGUGGAAAUUAUUUGAAUGAUAUUGCAGGUAUAUGAAAUCAAUGCAUGGACCUGCUGCUCGCAUAAUGAGGUCACAACUUCAAAUCUUAAAAUCUCACACCUGUCUUGUUCUCUGUUGGAUUUCACAAACUUUCACCAAUAUUUUCAUUAAUCUUUUUUCUGCUAUUAUCACAAGACAUUUAUUGCCAAGGUGACUGAAUUCCCCUUUAACAAGUACAGCAUGAAAUGGAUUCUCACAAUUCAUUUUAUCAUGUUUUCUUGACCUUUUCAAGGAGACCUGCUCAUUUUUAUUUCGAAAAGUGUGGUUAUGACUCACAGUGGGGAUGGCAAAUGGACUUGGAAAAGAUAUGGUAAAAGAUUGAAUAGCUGAAAGAUUCGCAUCUUUUGUUCCCAUUCCAAAUUGAUCUUGAAAAAAAAAACCUUGAUUAACAUGUGGAUAAUUAGAAAAUGUGUGUUACAUGUAGUCGUAAUUUCUUAAGUUAGGAUUCUAAUCUAGUCAUUGUUUAAGGCCCUGUUACAUCGUUCCAUGCAAGCCUUGCGGGUGAGUUGCGUCUGUCACUCGCAACUCACCCACAACAGAGUAUUGAGCAUGUUCAAAUCUUUUCUGCGUGCAAAUCAGACUUGUUUGUGCUUCUGUGGGCAACUGCGUGUGAGAUACGGUCAAUGCGGGCAACCUGCAACCCCGCAUAUCAGAAACAAAAGCAUGUCAUGAUGUGACAGAGCCUUUAGAAGUUCAUGCUACUGUAUUAGAAUGACUUCAACUUAAUUUUUCACUGAAAUCUGUCAAUGUCAUUCAUUCGCAAAGUUUUACAUUCAUGUAUUGUUAAAUUUUCAAGACUUCCAGCACUGCUUCACAUUCAGUGUUGUGAGCACUGGGCUAUUGGUGUUUUAAGCAUCAUAAUUAUCAUGGAAUCCUUUGUUUGAAUCUCUGGUACAUCAUAAAGCACAACAUGUCCUGUGUCAUGUAUCUGGUGUUAAAUGCACAGUGCAGUGUUUUAAACACUCUAAUCUAGACUAAUAGGAGCGUAUUCUGAAGCCGGGUUUAACUUAAAUUCGGGUUUAAAGUUGUGCUUUAAGUAUGGAUAGCCAAUUGUUACAUAAAUCACUAACAGUAGAGAUAUCAUAUUUCAGCUCAUUUGGCUCUCAAAUCAUUCAUAAUUGUCUAGGAAGUUUAAAUAGAUGAUUGUUUUCACCAUCGAUGAAUCAGGAAAGAGCACAGUAAACAUAAGAAACAUACAACUUCAUGAAAAUUUUGACACUUAUGGCUUCCCAUAAUUUUAGCACAGUUACACCAUGGUCUAAGUUAAACCUGACUUCAGAAUAUGGGCUGUAGUGUUUUAAGCACCAAGUCAUGAAAUUAAGCAUUUAAACCACUGUAAUGUAAAAGCGUUAGAAGCACUGUGUCAUACACAUGUAAUUCAGUGUUUUAGACACCAAAAUUCCAUCAUGUACUUCAAUGUUAUUAUGAGCACUAAUGUGUUUUCAAUAUUUCCAGUAUUAUAGUAUACAGUUUAUCAGUGUUUAUCAGUGGUUAUUUUUUUAUUUUUGGCCUUGUGUAAUUAAGAUUAGGCUUAACUAAUUACCUUGAAAAGGAUAUGAAGCCAAGCUGAUCAAUAUGUUUUCUUUUCUUAUUUUGCAAUUAAUCUUAUUUCUUAUCACACUGCUAAGCAGUAAAUAUUUUGUGCAAUUUUCAUUGACCCAACAUCAUCACGUACAUCUCACUCAAUACAUAGAGGUCACCUUCAUGAGUUCAUGUAUUUCAAAUUUGCAAUACUGUUUAGCCUAAGGUACAGGGUGGAUAAAAAAAAAAGAAAUCUGUAACAUUUUUUUCUGAUUAGGAUACAUACUGUUAGUGUACAUGUAUCUGACAGUGCGAGAAAGCAUUUUUCAAUGGAUUUUAACACGCUUAAAGCCCCUGAAAACCAAGAACAAUAGUUUUUAUCAAAUCUGCUUCUAUGGGCUUUUAGAUGGAAAAACGUGAAUGGAAAUGAUAGUGUCCUGGUACUGUAUGCAGAUUCUCGUUUCAUUCAAUCACCAUCUUCAUUCAUAGAUACUUAAAGGUCAAGUCCACCCCAGGAAAACGCUGACUUGAAUAAAUAGAGAAAAAUCAAACUAGCAUAGUGCUGAAACUUUCAUCAAAAUCGGAUGUAAAAUAAGAAAGUUAUGACAAUUUAAAGUUUCGCUUUUUUUUCACAAAACAGCGAUAUGCACAACCAGGUGAGUCAGUCGAUGAUGUCCCUCACUCACUAUUUCUUUUGUUUUUUAUUGUUUGAAUCAUACAAUAUUUUAUUUUUUAUAGAUUUGACAAUAAGGACAACCUUGACUGAACCAUAGACUAUUAAACAAAGCUAAUUCCACAUGUUCAGGGAGGAAUUAAUCAUUGUAUCACUUGACAAUGAGGAGAAAAUUAGAAUAUUUCACAUUUCAUAUAAUUAAAUACAAAAGAAAUAGUGAGUGGAUGAUGUAAUUUGCAUAUGAGCCAGGAUGUGCAUAUAACCGUUUUGUGAAAUUAAGCGAAAUUUUAAAAUAUCAUAACUUUCUUAUUUUACAUCCGAUUUUGAUGAAAUUUUCAGUGUUAUGCUUGUUGGAUUUUUCUCUUUUUAUUCAAAUCAACUUUGUGUUGGGGUGGACUUGUCCUUUAAGUUAUCACCUUUGCUUUGGAAAUUAGACUGGGCAGUAACAAUUUUCACCAGUUUUAGGGCACAAUCUCUCUUAAUACACUUUAUAUGUUCUAGUGUUUCAAUAAUGGUUUUAGGUUAAACUUGUGCCAGGUCCUGAAAGAAAGAAAAAGGGCUAGUUUUGUUAUGAUUUUUUGGCUUUGAAGCCAUUAGUUAGUAUUCAUAGACUGAGCAUGUUUGAACUUUGAAUAUGUAUUAUUUCUCUGAAACUCAUAUUUUAGGAUUAAUGUGUGAUUGAUUAAGUAGUGCAUGGGAUUAUAGCCUCUAAUCUAAAUAAAAUAGUAUUAUCUUUGAAUAGAAUUUUCGAUAUUUUAUAUAAUCUAUUUUGUAAGGAAGCAUUAUACAUCAUAGUGGAUUGCUUUUCAUUUCCAUCUUGAAUUAUGUAAUAUUUGAAAUAGGGCAACAGGCCCCAGAUACCAGUUCUUUAAAAUGGUAAGAAAAUAAUUUCACUUUCAUGUUUUCAACAAUGUGUGGUUCAUGAAUUAUGAAGCAAAAAUUGAAAGGGAUCUGUGCCUUUUCAUAUAGGGGGUACAUUAUCAACCAAUGUUUCUGUGAAUGUACGUGUUGCUGACUCAAAACUGGUCAUCUGGUCACAAUAUUACUUUGUUUUUUAUGAAGAUGGGCAAUUGACAAAAUAAUGUAUUCAAAUUGAUGAAAUCGUAGGUACAUUAUAUGCCAACAAGUCACUGGUUUAUUCUGAACUUAUUUAAUGAUAUUAGCCCAUUUUGGGGAUUCAUAGGAGUAACAGCUGAGUAUUAUCAUUAUCAUCAUGUUGGCUCUACUGAUUAUUGCUGUAGCAAAGACCUUCAUUUAAAGGUCUUUUCUUUCUUUUUUAGCAAACAAAGUGGUAUCUGCAAUGGUCCGCCACUUAAUGGGAUUUCAGCAAAUUAUAGUAAUGACUAAAGUCAAUUCAGAUAGGGAGGUAGGGGAUGGGGGGGGGGGAGAUGAAGCCUAAAAUGUCAUAAAAUUAUAUUUAAUUUUCUCAUGUAUAAAGAAACAAGGAAGGGGGGUUCAUAUCGGAAGAUUUGUUGAGAGCUUUUGAUUGCACAAGUUUUAUGAACCGGGUCAUCAAGAGAGUGAUUGAAUUAGUUCUAAUAGAUGACAUUGCAGUUUGGGGUAUUUUUCUUUUUUUUCUGUCUUUUUUUAAGUUUUAGAUAUACCAAAGGAGUUUACUAUUUAGGUGUAGAUGUUGAAAUAAUUUAGUUACUAGUAAGACAAUGCAUUUUAAAUGUAUUUUGUUCUAUUAUGUGUUUUCUUGCUUUUGAAUUAUGAUGUAGCGUCAAAUGACAGUAAAAUGAAUAAAACUAUAAGUAAUUAA
This is a long non-coding RNA of Lytechinus pictus (painted urchin), 5308 nucleotides long. RefSeq lists it as uncharacterized. The transcript is spliced from 2 exons. Lineage: Eukaryota; Metazoa; Echinodermata; Echinoidea; Temnopleuroida; Toxopneustidae. The record is from RefSeq and is a predicted model, not a curated record.